UAAGGUUUGGGAUAGAGUUUAAACAGAAUGUUUAGGGCCUCAUUAUGAAUGGUUAAGGUUUGGGAUAGAGUUUAAACAUUAAGAUUAGCCCCUCAUUAUGAAUGGUUAAGGUUUGGGAUAGAGUUAUAACAGAAUGUUUAGGGCCUCAUUAUGAAUGGUUAAGGUUUGGGAUAGAGUUAUAACAUAAUGUUUAGGGCCUCAUUAUGAAUGGUUAAGGUUUGGGAUAGAGUUUAAACAGAAUGUUUAGUGCCUCAUUAUGAAUGGUUAAGGUUUGGGAUAGAGUUAUAACAGAAUGUUUAGG
Molecule: long non-coding RNA, 301 nt
Organism: Oncorhynchus tshawytscha (Chinook salmon)
Lineage: Eukaryota; Metazoa; Chordata; Actinopteri; Salmoniformes; Salmonidae
Source: Ensembl